RNAcentral lists this ribosomal RNA (246 nucleotides) under uncultured bacterium. Its description in RNAcentral is "partial 16S ribosomal RNA". It matches the Rfam family "Bacterial small subunit ribosomal RNA", at positions 523 to 769 of the family's 1533-position model. The record is from RNAcentral.
AUACGUAGGGGGCGAGCGUUGUCCGGAUUUACUGGGCGUAAAGGGUGAGUAGGCGGUUAUGUAUGUCAGAUGUAAAAGGCACAGGCUUAACUUGUGUUAGCAUUUGAAACUGCAUAACUUGAGUGCAGGAGAGGUAAGUGGAAUUCCUAGUGUAGCGGUGAAAUGCGUAGAUAUUAGGAGGAACACCAGUGGCGAAGGCGACUUACUGGACUGUAACUGACACUGAGGCACGAAAGCGUGGGGAGC